RNAcentral lists this microRNA (20 nucleotides) under Xenopus laevis (African clawed frog). RNAcentral describes it as "xla-miR-16a-3p". Its record names the gene xla-miR-16a-3p. Lineage: Eukaryota; Metazoa; Chordata; Amphibia; Anura; Pipidae. The record is from miRBase by way of RNAcentral.
AGUGUUAUUGUGCUGCUUAA